UUUCUAGUGGCGGACGGGUGAGUAACGCGUGGGUAACCUGCCCUAUACAGGGGGAUAACAACCAGAAAUGGUUGCUAAUACCGCAUAAGCGCACAGGACCGCAUGGUUCGGUGUGAAAAACUCCGGUGGUAUAGGAUGGACCCGCGUUGGAUUAGCCAGUUGGCAGGGUAACGGCCUACCAAAGCGACGAUCCAUAGCCGGCCUGAGAGGGUGAACGGCCACAUUGGGACUGAGACACGGCCCAG
Molecule: ribosomal RNA, 245 nt
Filed under: uncultured bacterium
Lineage: Bacteria
Description: partial 16S ribosomal RNA
Rfam family: Bacterial small subunit ribosomal RNA
Source: RNAcentral